This 225-nucleotide long non-coding RNA is filed under the name Homo sapiens (human). RNAcentral describes it as "HSALNT0193160". The record is from RNAcentral. Lineage: Eukaryota; Metazoa; Chordata; Mammalia; Primates; Hominidae.
AUUUAAAAGUAGCUACAGCAUCAAUUUAAAGGUUCAAUGAAGAAUGUACAGCCAUGUAGAACUACAAUUGGGGGAAACAGGAAUAAUCUAAUGGAAAUAGACCGAGUCGCGAUACCUAUCAAGCCCCGUCAGCUCAGCUUCUUCUUGGCCUCUCUGUGCAGCAUUUCUUUCUCCCAGGCUGUAAGCUCCUUCAGUGCUGGAGCAGUGUCAUUCAUCCAUUUGUUC